GAACGAGUUCUGAUUAUUGAAGGGUGCUUGCAUCUUGAUUUAAUUUUGAACGAGUGGCGGACGGGUGAGUAACACGUGGGUAACCUGCCCUUAAGUGCCGGAUAACAUUUGGAAACAGAUGCUAAUACCGCAUAAAUCCAAGAACCGCAUCGUUCUUGGCUGAAAGAUGGCGUAAGCUAUCGCUUUUGGAUGGACCCGCGGCGUAUUAGCUAGUUGGUGAGGUAACGGCUCACCAAGGCAAUGAUACGUAGCCGAACUGAGAGUUGAUCGGCCACAUUGGGACUGAGACACGGCCCAAACUCCUACGGGAGGCAGCAGUAGGGAAUCUUCCACAAUGGACGCAAGUCUGAUGGAGCAACGCCGCGUGAGUGAAGAAGGCUAUUCGGGUCGUAAAACUC
This 398-nucleotide ribosomal RNA is filed under the name Lacticaseibacillus rhamnosus. Its description in RNAcentral is "bacterial SSU rRNA". It matches the Rfam family "Bacterial small subunit ribosomal RNA", at positions 64 to 433 of the family's 1533-position model. Lineage: Bacteria; Bacillati; Bacillota; Bacilli; Lactobacillales; Lactobacillaceae. The record is from RNAcentral.